AACGAACGCUGGCGGCAGGCCUAACACAUGCAAGUCGAGCGCGCCCUUCGGGGUGAGCGGCGGACGGGUGAGUAACGCGUGGGAACGUGCCCUUUUCUACGGAAUAGCCUCGGGAAACUGAGAGUCAUACCGUAUACGCCCUUUGGGGGUAAGAUUUAUCGGAAAAGGAUCGGCCCGCGUUGGAUUCGGUGGUUGGUGGGGUAAUGGCCUACCAAGCCGACGAUCCAUAGCUGGUGUGAGAGGAAGAUCAGCCACACUGGGACUGAGACACGGCCCAGACUCCUACGGGAGGCAGCAGUGGGGAAUCUUAGACAAUGGGGGCAACCCUGAUCUAGCCAUGCCGCGUGAGUGAUGAAGGCCUUAGGGUUGUAAAGCUCUUUCAGCUGGGAAGAUAAUGACGGUACCAGCAGAAGAAGCCCCGGCUAACUCCGUG
Molecule: ribosomal RNA, 433 nt
Filed under: uncultured bacterium
Lineage: Bacteria
Description: partial 16S ribosomal RNA
Rfam family: Bacterial small subunit ribosomal RNA
Source: RNAcentral